RNAcentral lists this ribosomal RNA (484 nucleotides) under uncultured bacterium. RNAcentral describes it as "partial 16S ribosomal RNA". It matches the Rfam family "Bacterial small subunit ribosomal RNA", at positions 30 to 507 of the family's 1533-position model. The record is from RNAcentral.
AUUGAACGCUGGCGGCAGGCCUAACACAUGCAAGUCGAGCGGAUGAAGGGAGCUUGCUCCUGGAUUCAGCGGCGGACGGGUGAGUAAUGCCUAGGAAUCUGCCUGGUAGUGGGGGAUAACGUCCGGAAACGGGCGCUAAUACCGCAUACGUCCUGAGGGAGAAAGUGGGGGAUCUUCGGACCUCACGCUAUCAGAUGAGCCUAGGUCGGAUUAGCUAGUUGGUGGGGUAAAGGCCUACCAAGGCGACGAUCCGUAACUGGUCUGAGAGGAUGAUCAGUCACACUGGAACUGAGACAGGGUCAAGACUCCGAGGGGAGGCAGCAGGGGGGAAUAUUGGACAAUGGGGGAAAGCUUGACCCACCCAUGCGGCGUGUGGGAAGAAGGUCUGCGGAUUGUAAAGCAUUUUAAGUGGGGAGGAAGGGAAGUAAGUUAAUACCUUGCUGUUUGGACGUUACCAAAAGAAUAAGCACCGGCUAACUUCGUG